RNAcentral lists this ribosomal RNA (207 nucleotides) under uncultured bacterium. RNAcentral's name for it is "partial 16S ribosomal RNA". It matches the Rfam family "Bacterial small subunit ribosomal RNA", at positions 568 to 774 of the family's 1533-position model. The record is from RNAcentral.
CGUGUAGGCGGUUCAAUAGGUCCGAUGUGAAAACUCGAGGCUCAACCUCGAGAGGUCGUCGGAAACCAUUGAACUAGAGUCCGGAAGAGGAGAGUGGAAUUCCUGGUGUAGCGGUGAAAUGCGCAGAUAUCAGGAAGAACACCGAUGGCGAAGGCAGCUCUCUGGGACGGUACUGACGCUGAGACGCGAAAGCGUGGGGAGCGAACA